RNAcentral lists this ribosomal RNA (576 nucleotides) under Triticum aestivum (bread wheat). Its description in RNAcentral is "partial small subunit ribosomal RNA". The record is from RNAcentral. Lineage: Eukaryota; Viridiplantae; Streptophyta; Magnoliopsida; Poales; Poaceae.
AUGGCGUCCUGGAAGGACCAUGAGGGCGGGGGCAUCUCAACCACAACGUGUGUUGAUGCCGCUGCACGCCUCGGCGAGCGCUGCGAUCAGAUCCUCGGCGGUCGCGCCUCCUUCCGUGAAGCACUCCGACUGAAGAAGGGGGCCAUGACGCUGGUCAAGAACCAGGGGAAAUGCGGAAGCUGCUGGGCCUACUCGACCGUGGUGGUCGUGGAGGGGAUGAACCAGAUUAUGAUUGGCAGGCUUGAGUCGCUGUCGGACCAGGAGCUGAUGGACUGUGACAACACUUUCGACCAUGGCUGCGGAGGGGGGCCUCAUGGACUUCGCCUACGCCUACAUCGUGGUCGUGGAGAACCAGGGGAUCCACACCUCAUGGAGGAGGGCAACUACAAGGAGAAACAGAACAGCGAGAUGAGCCUGCUGAAAGUGCUGGUGCACCAGGCCGUCAGCGUGGGCAUCACUGCAGGGAGCAGAGACUUCCAGUUGUACAAAGGGGGGGUGUUUGAAGGAACGUGUGAGACUCGCCUCGAUCAUGUGCUAACGGCCGUCUCAUCCCGCGGGCACAACCCAUCAUCAUGA